UUUCGUCCCGAAAUUUAUUUAAAAGGAAUGUUUGAAAGGGUUUUGGCAAUCAGAAGAUGAUUGUUUAAAAUUGAGGUUUUGGAGUUUGCGACAACGGAGAAUAAUCGAGGUAUAAGGGUGAACGACUGAUCUAAUAAACGAUUAUGAGUUGAAUUAGGUCAAAAAGGUCUGCAAAACAUUGAAUUUCUCAGGGCACGUUUUACGAAGGUUUGGUAACAUGGUGAAAACACUUAU
Molecule: long non-coding RNA, 234 nt
Filed under: Helianthus annuus (common sunflower)
Lineage: Eukaryota; Viridiplantae; Streptophyta; Magnoliopsida; Asterales; Asteraceae
Description: sRNA HanXRQr2_Chr08g0346261
Source: RNAcentral